AGCAGCAUGGUGUAUUGUGCACACGGGGCUUCCUUAAUCCUGUCGACAAGUGUUGAUCCCGAGGUCCUUGUUCGAAUCAAGGUGCUGCUC
Mycena latifolia is the source of this 90-nucleotide non-coding RNA. NCBI's taxonomy places the organism in Eukaryota, Fungi, Basidiomycota, Agaricomycetes, Agaricales, Mycenaceae. The record is from the annotation of a GenBank genome assembly.